This 1068-nucleotide long non-coding RNA is filed under the name Salmo salar (Atlantic salmon). RNAcentral's name for it is "lncRNA (ENSSSAG00000083754.1)". The record is from RNAcentral. Lineage: Eukaryota; Metazoa; Chordata; Actinopteri; Salmoniformes; Salmonidae.
CAUUUCGCAACACCUACGGCUUCCACUAGAUGUCAACGAUCUUUAUAAAGUUGUUUGAAGCGUCUAUGAUAAACAGAGAGCAAAUUAGAAUCCAAGGAAGUUGACAUGUCAUCACUUCAUUUUUUUGCGCCUGCGCAUAAAUCUGAGAAACGUGAGUUUGUCAUCAUUUUUUAUCUAGACAUAGGAUAGGUUGUGUGAAAAUAUUACUGAUGUUUAACGUUAAAAAUGGACCAAAAGAUUAAUGCUAAACAACAUUUGACAUGUUUGAACGAACAUAAAUAGAUUAUUUACUAGGUUUUUUUAGCUUUUCGGCGUGAUUUUACCAGCCCCCCACCACGUUUUGUGGGAGCAUAAUGAACGCUAAGUACUUGGUGUUAUUUGGACAUAAAUUAUGAACUUUGUCAAAAGAAACCACAUUUGUUCCGGACCUGGGAUGCCUUCCGGACCUGGGAUGCCUGCCUUCUGAUGGAGAUAAUCAAAGAAACUGUCCUCCGCAGAGAGAAAUAACGUCGGUGAUCGGGAGCUCCUGGUGGUGAAGUUGGCAUUAGAAGAGCGGAGACACUGGCUGGAGGGCACCAAGGAUCCAUUCAUCAUCCUCACCAACCAUCGGAACCGAGAAUUCAUACGAACAGCAAGGAGACUGAAUCCGCACCAAGCCAGUUAGGCACUUUUCUUCACCAGGUUCAACUUCACGCUGACCUAUCGCCCAGGUUCUAAGAAUACCAAGGCUGAUGCUCUGUCCCACAUCUACGAUUCGGAAGAGGUUCCUGUCCAGAGGGCACCCAUAAUUCCAUCCUCCCAAGUCAUGGGUCCAGUGGUUUGGGAUGUAGAUGUGGACAUGCGCCAGCCUCUAGAGAGUUAGCCAACACCCCGGAAUUGUCCUCCUGAGCGCAUCUAUGUUCCCACAGGGAUAAGGGAUCGGCUGUUGACCUGGGCACAAACAGCGGUCGUCGCUGGACAUCCAGGUAUUUCUCACACCACCCACUCCAUCGCUGAGAAGUACUGGUGGCCCACGUUGGUGCAGGAUGUCACUCGCAGGUAUUCCGGCAUUAUGGCCUUCCAGAUGAC